This 364-nucleotide ribosomal RNA is filed under the name uncultured eukaryote. Its description in RNAcentral is "partial 18S ribosomal RNA". It matches the Rfam family "Eukaryotic small subunit ribosomal RNA", at positions 592 to 976 of the family's 1831-position model. The record is from RNAcentral.
CAAUAGCGUAUAUUUAAGUUGUUGCAGUUAAAAAGCUCGUAGUCGGAUUUUGGCUGAGAACGAUCGGUCCGCCGUUAGGUGUGCACUGAUUGGUCUCAGCUUCCUGGUGAGGAGGUGUGCUUCACGGCCACUUAGUCACCGUGGUUACUUUGAAAAAAUUAGAGUGUUCAAAGCGGGCUUACGCUUGAAUAUAUUAGCAUGGAAUAACACCAUAGGACUCCUGUCCUAUUUCGUUGGUCUCGGGACGGGAGUAAUGAUUAAGAGGAACAGUUGGGGGCAUUCGUAUUUCAUUGUCAGAGGUGAAAUUCUUGGAUUUAUGAAAGACGAACUUCUGCGAAAGCAUUUGCCAAGGAUGUUUCAUUGA